Molecule: ribosomal RNA, 502 nt
Filed under: uncultured bacterium
Lineage: Bacteria
Description: bacterial SSU rRNA
Rfam family: Bacterial small subunit ribosomal RNA
Source: RNAcentral
AUUGAACGCUGGCGGAAUGCUUUACACAUGCAAGUCGAACGGCAGCACGGGGGCAACCCUGGUGGCGAGUGGCGAACGGGUGAGUAAUGCAUCGGAACGUACCCUAUCGUGGGGGAUAACUAUCCGAAAGGAUGGCUAAUACCGCAUACGACCUGAGGGUGAAAGCAGGGGAUCGCAAGACCUUGCGCGAUAGGAGCGGCCGAUGCCGGAUUAGCUAGUUGGUGAGGUAAAGGCUCACCAAGGCGACGAUCCGUAGCUGGUCUGAGAGGACGACCAGCCACACUGGGACUGAGACACGGCCCAGACUCCUACGGGAGGCAGCAGUGGGGAAUUUUGGACAAUGGGCGAAAGCCUGAUCCAGCCAUUCCGCGUGAGUGAAGGAGGCCUUCGGGUUGUAAAGCUCUUUCGGCAGGAACGAAACGGUAGGCCACUAAUACUGGCUACUAAUGACGGUACCUGAAGAAGAAGCACCGGCUAACUACGUGCCAGCAGCCGCGGUAAU